Molecule: ribosomal RNA, 895 nt
Filed under: Colletotrichum fructicola
Lineage: Eukaryota; Fungi; Ascomycota; Sordariomycetes; Glomerellales; Glomerellaceae
Description: LSU rRNA
Rfam family: Eukaryotic large subunit ribosomal RNA
Source: RNAcentral
CCAUAUCAAUAAGCGGAGGAAAAGAAACCAACAGGGAUUGCCUCAGUAACGGCGAGUGAAGCGGCAACAGCUCAAAUUUGAAAUCUGGCCCUAGGCCCGAGUUGUAAUUUGCAGAGGAUGCUUUUGGUGCGGUGCCUUCCAAGUUCCCUAGAACGGGACGCCAGAGAGGGUGAGAGCCCCGUACAGUUGGACACCAAGCCUUUGUAAAGCUCCUUCGACGAGUCGAGUAGUUUGGGAAUGCUGCUCAAAAUGGGAGGUAUAUUUCUUCUAAAGCUAAAUACCGGCCAGAGACCGAUAGCGCACAAGUAGAGUGAUCGAAAGAUGAAAAGCACUUUGAAAAGAGGGUUAAACAGCACGUGAAAUUGUUAAAAGGGAAGCGCUUGUGACCAGACUUGCGUCCGGUGAAUCACCCAGCUCUCGCGGCUGGGGCACUUCGCCGGCUCAGGCCAGCAUCAGCUCGCUGUCGGGGACAAAAGCUUCAGGAACGUAGCUCUCUUCGGGGAGUGUUAUAGCCUGUUGCACAAUACCCUUCGGCGGGCUGAGGUACGCGCUCCGCAAGGAUGCUGGCAUAAUGGUCAUCAGCGACCCGUCUUGAAACACGGACCAAGGAGUCAACCUUAUGUGCGAGUGUUCGGGUGUCAAACCCCUACGCGUAAUGAAAGUGAACGCAGGUGAGAGCUUCGGCGCAUCAUCGACCGAUCCUGAUGUUCUCGGAUGGAUUUGAGUAAGAGCAUAUAGGGUUGGACCCGAAAGAAGGUGAACUAUGCGUGUAUAGGGUGAAGCCAGAGGAAACUCUGGUGGAGGCUCGCAGCGGUUCUGACGUGCAAAUCGAUCGUCAAAUAUGCGCAUGGGGGCGAAAGACUAAUCGAACCUUCUAGUAGCUGGUUUCCGCCGA